This 337-nucleotide ribosomal RNA is filed under the name Escherichia coli. RNAcentral's name for it is "bacterial SSU rRNA". It matches the Rfam family "Bacterial small subunit ribosomal RNA", at positions 1 to 334 of the family's 1533-position model. RNAcentral also lists the same sequence under 1 other name. Lineage: Bacteria; Pseudomonadati; Pseudomonadota; Gammaproteobacteria; Enterobacterales; Enterobacteriaceae. The record is from RNAcentral.
AAAUUGAAGAGUUUGAUCAUGGCUCAGAUUGAACGCUGGCGGCAGGCCUAACACAUGCAAGUCGAACGGUAACAGGAAGCAGCUUGCUGCUUUGCUGACGAGUGGCGGACGGGUGAGUAAUGUCUGGGAAACUGCCUGAUGGAGGGGGAUAACUACUGGAAACGGUAGCUAAUACCGCAUAACGUCGCAAGACCAAAGAGGGGGACCUUAGGGCCUCUUGCCAUCGGAUGUGCCCAGAUGGGAUUAGCUAGUAGGUGGGGUAACGGCUCACCUAGGCGACGAUCCCUAGCUGGUCUGAGAGGAUGACCAGCCACACUGGAACUGAGACACGGUCCAG